UAACUAUUGUUUGCUGAAAUCCACCGUCGACUGUUAAUAAUUCAGCUCGUUCUCGACGUAAGAGCAUCGGAUUGCGACGAGACUUGGUUCGUUGGAUUCGGGACUUCGAGAGAAAUCCACGAAGCCCUUACUUGCAAAUUUUGGUGAAGAGCCUGGAGUUAGCGCGAUCCUUGGGUUCGAAAGGCUACGAUCGACCCAGCAGGUGGCGCCACAGCUGUGAGAGUGUACCGCUGCCAGGGGAUAGCUUUCGAGAGCCACAGGUUCCGGUUGCUGCACCGUCCGUGGAUCA
Molecule: long non-coding RNA, 289 nt
Organism: Ananas comosus (pineapple)
Lineage: Eukaryota; Viridiplantae; Streptophyta; Magnoliopsida; Poales; Bromeliaceae
Exons: 3
Source: RefSeq, a predicted model, not a curated record